Molecule: ribosomal RNA, 301 nt
Filed under: uncultured bacterium
Lineage: Bacteria
Description: partial 16S ribosomal RNA
Rfam family: Bacterial small subunit ribosomal RNA
Source: RNAcentral
CAGCCGCCGCGGGAAUACGGAGGGGGCUAGCGUUGUUCGGAAUUAUUGGGCGUAAAGGGCGCGUAGGCGGUUUGGCAAGUUUGGUGUGAAAUCUUCGGGCUCAACUCGAAGUCUGCAUCGAAAACUGCCGGGCUUGAGUAUGGGAGAGGUGAGUGGAAUUUCCGGUGUAGCGGUGAAAUGCGUAGAUAUCGGAAGGAACACCUGUGGCGAAAGCGGCUCACUGGACAAUAACUGACGCUGAUGCACGAAAGCUAGGGGAGCAAACAGGAUUAGAUACCCGUGUAGUCCCUGUCUCUUAUAC